GAAUAUUGGACAAUGGGGGGAACCCUGAUCAAGCCAUGCGGCGUGGGUGAAGAAGGCCUUUUGGUGGUAAAGCACUUAAAGCGAGGAGGAGGGGCCCUGGGUUAAUACCCAAGCUGCUUGGCCGUAACUCACAGAUGAGGCCCCGCCCAACCGUGUCCCGGCAGCCGCGGUAAGACAGAUGGUGCAAGCGUUAAUCGGAUUUACUGGGCGUAAAGCGCGCGUAGGUGGCCAAUUAAGUCAAACGUGAAAUCCCCGAGCUUAACUUGGGAAUUGCAUUCGAUACUGGUUGGCUAGAGUAUGGGAGAGGAUGGUAGAAUUCCAGGUGUAGCGGUGAAAUGCGUAGAGAUCUGGAGGAAUACCGAUGGCGAAGGCAGCCAUCUGGCCUAAUACUGACACUGAGGUGCGAAAGCAUGGGGAGCAAACA
Molecule: ribosomal RNA, 424 nt
Filed under: uncultured bacterium
Lineage: Bacteria
Description: partial 16S ribosomal RNA
Rfam family: Bacterial small subunit ribosomal RNA
Source: RNAcentral